Chroicocephalus ridibundus (black-headed gull) is the source of this 715-nucleotide long non-coding RNA. RefSeq lists it as uncharacterized. Lineage: Eukaryota; Metazoa; Chordata; Aves; Charadriiformes; Laridae. The record is from RefSeq and is a predicted model, not a curated record. The transcript is spliced from 3 exons.
UUGAACUGGUUGUUUUUAACUAUGGAGCUUGUUUCCAGCAGCGGCAGCAGUGGAAAGCGGUGGCGAGAAGAGGUGGAGGGGGAGGAAUGGCUUCAGCACGUUUCAGAGGUGGCCCUGGGCUGAUGCUGGGUCUAGACAAGAGGAGACGGAGGGGGAUGAAUGGCUUCGGCAAGUUCAGAGAGCUGUAAUUGGAUUUACUGGGUCUAGCAGCUGAGUGCCAAUUGUGUUUCCAUGGAGAAAACAGUAGGUCCAGCUCGUUCUCCCGUGUACUCUGAUCUCCAGCUCCCUCGGAGGCACUGCCUUUGCCGCUGCCCAAGAAGCUCCUCUACACCGAAGACAGGAGUCCCAGGGAAAUAAUCGGGAACACAGAGACACGGCGUGCUCACAGCAUCCCAACAGCCUUGGACGUGGGUUUGAGGUGUUUCCUUUGCAAGCCCUGCCAGGAGCAGAGAGCACAGAGCUCCAAAAAGCAGAGCAUCCUGUGGAGACCAAGCCUCCCCACCUCCGCUUGAACUCCUCUUCGGCACCAAAAGGCUGCCAGGCCCUGCAACACAAAGAGAAAUGCUUUCCGCAACUUCAUCCGAGCCAGGCGUCUGAAAGCUUUGUACCUGCUCCAAGACCAUCACGUUUCCCUCCUUGUAUUUCCUCAGAGAAGAAAGCCAGAACAUCACCCAAACGCAUGUCAUUAUUAGUAAGUGCGUACGCACAGGGUGGC